This 254-nucleotide ribosomal RNA is filed under the name uncultured bacterium. RNAcentral's name for it is "partial 16S ribosomal RNA". It matches the Rfam family "Bacterial small subunit ribosomal RNA", at positions 524 to 776 of the family's 1533-position model. The record is from RNAcentral.
UACGGGGGGAGCAAGCGUUGUUCGGAUUUACUGGGCGUAAAGGGCGCGUAGGCGGUCAGCACAAGUCAGUUGUGAAAUCCCCGGGCUUAACCUGGGAACCGCAUUUGUGACUGCAUAGCUGGAGUACGGCAGAGGGGGAUGGAAUUCCGCGUGUAGCAGUGAAAUGCGUAGAUAUGCGGAGGAACACCGGUGGCGAAGGCGCCACUCUGGGCCGAAACUGACGCUGAGGAGCGAAAGCAUGGGUAGCAAACAGG